GAUGAACGCUGACAGAAUGCUUAACACAUGCAAGUCGAUGGGGAAGUGGUGCUUGCACCCUGGCAACCAUGGCGGACGGGUGAGUAACGCGUAAGGGACUUACCUGCAGGACUGGGAUAACAGGGGGAAACUCCUGACAAGACCGGAUAAUGUCAUGGAGCUGCAUGGCUUUAUGAUGAAAGGAGACGCCUGCGGAGAGCCUUGCGUCCUAUUAGCUAGUUGGUGAGGUAAUGGCUCACCAAGGCGAAGAUAGGUAGCCGGCCUGAGAGGGUGGACGGCCACAAGGGGACGGAGAUACGGCCCUUACUCCUACGGGAGGCAGCAGUGGGGAAUAUUGGACAAUGGGGGCAACCCUGAUCCAGCAAUUCUGUGUGCACGAAGAAGGUUUUCGGAGUGUAAAGUGCUUUCAGCAGGGAAGAAGUAAGUGACGGUACCUGCAGAAGAAGCGACGGCUAAAUACGUG
RNAcentral lists this ribosomal RNA (463 nucleotides) under uncultured bacterium. Its description in RNAcentral is "partial 16S ribosomal RNA". It matches the Rfam family "Bacterial small subunit ribosomal RNA", at positions 28 to 507 of the family's 1533-position model. The record is from RNAcentral.